GUUGAGCGUCCUCGGGUUGUCAGUGUGGGCAAGUCGCAUGGAAAUGCGCGCCGUGGAGGGUGAGAGCCCCGUCCAACUCACACAGGACAUACCCGCACGAGGGCGUUUCAGAUGAGUCGGGUAGCUUGGGAAUGCUGCUCUAAUCGGUGGUAAAUCUCAUCGAAGGCUAAAUAGCGGCUGGAGACCGAUAGCGAACAAGUACCGUGAGGGAAAGAUGACAAGCACUUUGAAAAGAGGGUGAAAAGAGCCUGAAACCGUCACGGGGGAAGCGGAUUGCGUUGGAUUGAUGGGCGCUUGUGUGUUCAGCCUUCGGGUGCAUUGGCACAAGUGCUUAUCCGCUGUGAGUUUUCGGGGGUCGAUUUUGGACCCCUGGGGACUGAGGGCUCCCUUUUUUAGGUGAGGACAGCGGAGUGACGACGCGAUACGACCCGUCUUGAAACACGGACCAAGGAGUCUAGCGCGGGUGCGAGUCGGAGGGUGCAAGCCCGUGGGCGAAGUGAAAGCGAGUUUUAAAAACGAGCAGUUUGGGGCGGCAUAAGAUCGUUGAUCUUAAGACCGACCCGGAGCAGUUGCGCUGGGACCCGAAAGAUGGUGAACUAUGCCGGAGUAGGGCAAAGCCAGAGGAAACUCUGGUGGAGGCUCGUAGCGGUGCUGACGUGCAAAUCGCUCGUCGAACUUGGGUAUAGGGGCGAAAGACUAAUCGAACCAUCUAGUAGCUGGUUCCCUCCGAAGUUUCUCUCAGGAUAGCGGGCCGACAAGUUGUUUUGUGCGGUAAAGCGAAUGAUUAGCGCAUUCGGGGGCGUUUAGCCUUUGGGCGAUUCUCAAACUUUCAAUGCGCAAGGGUGCCGCUGCUUAAUUGAGCGGUACCGGUAAAAACGUCGGCCCUGUGGGCCACUUUUGGUAAGCAGAACUGGCGAUACGGGAUGAACCGUAAGCAAGGUU
Molecule: ribosomal RNA, 942 nt
Filed under: Chondracanthus acicularis
Lineage: Eukaryota; Rhodophyta; Florideophyceae; Gigartinales; Gigartinaceae
Description: eukaryotic LSU rRNA
Rfam family: Eukaryotic large subunit ribosomal RNA
Source: RNAcentral